AAUGAACGUUGGCGGCGUGGAUUAGGCAUGCAAGUCGAGCGCGAACCGUAGCAAUACGGGGAGAGCGGCGAAAGGGAGAGUAAUACGUGGAUACCUGCCCUCGGGUUCGGGAUAGCUACGGGAAACUGUAGGUAAUACCGAAUAACAUCUUCGGAUCAAAGGUGUGAUUCCGCCCGGGGAGGGGUCCGCGUCCUAUUAGCUAGUUGGUGAGGUAGCGGCCCACCAAGGCGAAGGUGGGUAUGGGGUGUGAGAGCAUGACCCCACUCACUGGGACUGAGACACUGCCCAGACACCUACGGGUGGCUGCAGUCGAGAAUCUUCGGCAAUGGGGGAAACCCUGACCGAGUGACGCCGCGUGCGAGAUGAAGGCCUUCGUGUUGUAAAUCGCUGUCAGAGGGGAGGAAAUGCCGGGAAGUAAUUCAUAAUCAACUCGGUUUGACCUAGCCUCAGAGGAAGGACGGGCUAAGUUCGUGCCAGCCGCCGCAGUAA
RNAcentral lists this ribosomal RNA (489 nucleotides) under uncultured bacterium. RNAcentral describes it as "partial 16S ribosomal RNA". It matches the Rfam family "Bacterial small subunit ribosomal RNA", at positions 29 to 523 of the family's 1533-position model. The record is from RNAcentral.